Molecule: microRNA precursor, 59 nt
Filed under: Drosophila ananassae
Lineage: Eukaryota; Metazoa; Arthropoda; Insecta; Diptera; Drosophilidae
Description: Dan-Mir-961_pre stem-loop
Source: RNAcentral
UUUGAUCACUGGUUACUGAGGUUGUUUUGUCAUAAGCUUCGUUUUCUGGCGAUCAAAUA